UACGGAAGGCAGCAGUGGGGAAUAUUGCACAAUGGGCGAAAGCCUGAUGCAGCUAUGCCGCGUGUAUGAAGAAGGCCUUAGGGUUGUAAAGUACUUUUCAUCGGGGAGGAAAAACAAAACUAAUAAUUUUAUUUCUUGACGUUACCCGAAAAAGAAGCACCGGCUAACUCCGUGCCAGCAGCCGCGGUAAUACGGAGGGUGCUAGCGUUAAUCAGAAUUACUGGGCGUAAAGAGCACGUAGGUGGUUUUUUUAAGUCAGAUGUGAAAUCCCUGGGCUUAACCUGGAACUUGCAUUUUGAAACUGAAAUACUAGAGUAUCGUAGAGGGAGGUAGAAUUCUAGGUGUAGCGGUGAAAUGCGUAGAUAUCUGGAGGAAUACCUGUGGCGAAAGCGGCCUCCUAAACGAAUACUGACACUGAGGUGCGAAAGCGUGGGGAGCAAACAGGGAUUAGAUACC
This 456-nucleotide ribosomal RNA is filed under the name uncultured bacterium. RNAcentral describes it as "bacterial SSU rRNA". It matches the Rfam family "Bacterial small subunit ribosomal RNA", at positions 340 to 786 of the family's 1533-position model. The record is from RNAcentral.